GGACGCGGUCGCCAUGACGGCGGCGGCGGCUGUUUCCGCGGGCUUCUUGGGUCCUUGCGUGGGCCUUGCCACCGCUCACUACUUUCCCAUGCCACACAGGCUCCCGCAAUUUCACCUUGCGGUCUCACGGCUAUUUUUAUUGCCGGGGGGAGUUGCUCCUCAGUCCGGCCUUGAAAGGGCCGCUUCGACGGCGUGGGGGCUCCACAGGAAGGCGUGGUCUUGGAGAGGACGCUGCCUUUCCAAGAUGCGCAGAUGUCCAUCGUCUUUCCUGUCACCGGCAACGGAGGCCUUGCCCUCCCAGCUCGUCCAAGACCUCAGUGCGAGAGGAAGAAUUAAUGAUUGCCCUAAAGGGCAUCUUCCUGCUUACCCUGCACUCCAUGGCUCUCCUCCCGGCGCUUUUAGGAACGCGGAGGGGGCUUCUCCACGAAUAAGGGAUUGGUGUUACCCGCACAUUCUACGUUUAUCCAGAUAUUUGCCCAUGAAUGUACAUUGCAGCGUGGUUUUUAAUAGGAAACGACCUAAAUGUCCCUCAGAAUGGGAUAGUAAUAGAAAACAAUAUAGCCUUUAUGAAUUACUAAAGAGUUAUUAAAAGAAGUAGAUCUGUAAUGGUAAGAAACACCAACAGCAGGCAGUUGCAAAAUAAUGCAUAUUUAUGGUUGCAUUUGUAUUUUAAGUUAUAUAAACAUGCAUAUAUUUUAGCAAAUUCAUGGGGAGAGAUAUCACACUAAAGAGGACAGCAACUCCGAAAAAGUAUGUGUUGGUGAGUAGAAAGUUUUAAAGUUUUGUUGUGUAUACUUAAGUUUCUACGAAUCUUUAGCAAGGAGAAUUUAUUAAGGUUUUUUGGUGAGUUUUUUGUUUUGUUUGUUUUGUGUGUGUGUGUGUAACGUCAAGUACCAAAAUAAAUAAUCAAUGUCCAGUGCUCUCCUCCCCACCCCCACCUUACUGGCCAUUGAACUGAGGGGCACUCUAUCACUGAGCUACAUCCCCAGUCCUUUUUAUUUUUUAUUUUAAGACAAGGUCUUACCCAGGAGUUGUCCAGGCUAGCCUCAGACUUACCAUCUUCUGCCUCAGCUUCCCAAGUAGCUGGUGUUGCAGGCAUGCACCACAGUACCCAGGUAGAAUUUCUCUUGAAAAGCUUUGUUCUAGAUAUUAUUGUUUGGAUAUGGUUUGAAUGCCAUCCUCCAAGUUUUCAUGUGUUGAAGUUUGAUCCCCACUGUGAGGUAUUAAGAAGGUGGAAAUGGAGCUGGGGUUGUAGCUCAGUGGUUGAACGCUUGCCUCCAAUGCGUGAGGAACUGGGUUCUAUCCUCAGCACCACAUAAAAUAUAAAUAAAUGAAUAAAUAAAACAAAGAUAUUUAAAAAAAAAAAGAAUGUGGAAAUGUGUGUGGCUGGGAUUAUAGCUCAGUGGUAGAGCCAGCAGGAGGUCUCCAACACCGUUGAAAUGUCAAGGUGGAAAUUUAUACAAUAAUAGUAUUGAGAGGUAGAGCCUUUGUGAGUUGAUUUAGAUAUAAGGUUAUUAGAUAUUAUUGUUGUUUGGAUAUGGUUUGAAUGCUAUCUUCCAAGUUUUCAUGUGUUGAAGUUUGAUCCCCAUUGUGAGGUAUUAAGAAGGUGGAAAUGGGGCCGGGGUUGUAGCUCAGAGGGAGAGAAUUCGGGAGAAAUGAACAUACCUGUCCCUUAAUCUCUUUCUGUGUGAUAACCCUGAACCACCUUGGGAUUCUGUCAGCAAGCAGACCAUUACCACAUGCACACUUAGGCCAGAAUUCUGACCCAAAAUAAACCUCUUUGUUAAAAAAUACAGCCCCAGGUAUUUUGUUGCAGUAAUGAAAAACAAAUACAGAGACCACAGAUUUGCAGUGGAUCAAAUAUUUACCGAGUGCCAACUCUACUUAAUCGUAAAAAUAAUAAAAUAGACAAAAAUGAUUGACCCAUGCUCCUUUGGUUCUUGCUUGUGGUAUUAGUGCUUAGUGGGCAUUUUAUUUAUUUUUGACCUUCACUUUUUUUUUUUUUUUUUGGAUACAGGGAACUCACUGUGUUGCCAAAGCUCAUCUUGAACUAGUGGACUCAACUGAUGUCCCACCUCAGCCCCCUCAGUAGCUGAGAUUACAGGCAUGCAUCACCAUGCCUAGCUUCUGGCAAACUUUUUUCACAUUACUCUCUGAGUGAUCUUGAAAUCUGCUUUGCCGUGUUCUUCACAUUUACUUUAAUCACACAUAAUUAAUCUCCCAAUAGUUCAUUAUGAUAAACUGAAGUUACAAGUAAGAGCAAUUUGAAUCUGCAAAUACACUAAUUUAUUAAUAAGUUUGCAUUGAAAGGGAGUAUCAAGUAAUGAUUAUGGAGAGAAGGCAAAGCCCCGCCCUGAGUUGCUCCAUUUGUAUGGAACAGCAGUGCCUAGCCCUGACUUAUUCCAUUUUAUAAAGCAGUUUGACCCGAGCUACUCCAUUUUGAAUUAAAGUGCUAAAGCAGAAUGACUCGAAAACUUGUCUGAGCAAACAGAUAACCUCCAGAUGGUAGACAUACAGAAUUCAUCAAGAAGAAUAACCUACAGCAAUACAGCAUGAUCAUAAGGCACAAACUGAAAAUUGAAUAAUGAAUAAUAACCACUUGUGAACUUACCAAAUUAAAUCAGAAACUCAUGGAUGCAUGGACAUCAAACCCAUAUCAGAGAAACAAGGCGCCUGAGUUUAUCAAUCUCACCAGAAGUAAUCCUCUCACCUGAAAUACAUAAAAGGAGGAGCACCCCAAAACGGUAAUGGGUGGUGUUGCAACCCAUCCGGUGAACUGCUCAGGAGGUCCACAGGUAACAAACUCCCAACUCUCUUCCUAGGACUUCAGCUCAGCAGGUCCUCACCCUCCCCCACUUCACAACUGCCUGCCCUCUGGACCUUGGCUUAGAAUAAGUUCAGCACCCUGAUAGCCUUGACCCCUGAGCAAGUUCUUCAGCUGGUUCCUGAUCUGACCACUUGCAGUAAGUCUUCUGUAGUUAUAUUGCUCCCUGCCAUAGGGCCUCUUGAAACCCUGUGUCCACCCUUAACCUUCCUUAGCCUUCUGUAACCUAUAUAGCAUUGUGUUAAGUAUGAUGUGUGAUUUGAGUGUUAUAAACAUUAGUAAUUAAGACUGAAAUGGAAUGGAAGAAAUUAUGAUUGCCUGGGUCAUAACACCAAGUGAACCAUGAGUAUCUUCAGGAAUUUGAAGCUGAUGAAAUUGAUGUAGCUUGUAAAUUUAUUAUUACUCAAUAAAUCCUGACAAUGUGGAAAGACACAAA
This 3260-nucleotide long non-coding RNA is filed under the name Marmota monax (woodchuck). Lineage: Eukaryota; Metazoa; Chordata; Mammalia; Rodentia; Sciuridae. The record is from RNAcentral.